RNAcentral lists this ribosomal RNA (472 nucleotides) under uncultured organism. RNAcentral describes it as "partial 16S ribosomal RNA". It matches the Rfam family "Bacterial small subunit ribosomal RNA", at positions 332 to 796 of the family's 1533-position model. The record is from RNAcentral.
UACACUCCUGCGGGAGGCAGCAGUGGGGAAUUUUGGACAAUGGGCGAAAGCCUGAUCCAGCAAUGCCGCGUGCAGGAUGAAGGCCUUCGGGUUGUAAACUGCUUUUGUACGGAACGAAAAAGCUCCUUCUAAUACAGGGGGCCCAUGACGGUACCGUAAGAAUAAGCACCGGCUAACUACGUGCCAGCAGCCGCGGUAAUACGUAGGGUGCGAGCGUUAAUCGGAAUUACUGGGCGUAAAGCGUGCGCAGGCGGUUAUGUAAGACAGAUGUGAAAUCCCCGGGCUCAACCUGGGAACUGCAUUUUUGACUGCAUGGCUAGAGUACGGUAGAGGGGGAUGGAAUUCCGCGUGUAGCAGUGAAAUGCGUAGAUAUGCGGAGGAACACCGAUGGCGAAGGCAAUCCCCUGGACCUGUACUGACGCUCAUGCACGAAAGCGUGGGGAGCAAACAGGAUUAGAAACCCGAGUAGUCC